This 210-nucleotide unclassified non-coding RNA is filed under the name uncultured Lactarius. Its description in RNAcentral is "sequence contains ITS1". Lineage: Eukaryota; Fungi; Basidiomycota; Agaricomycetes; Russulales; Russulaceae. The record is from RNAcentral.
UCGUACAAAAUGUGAUGGGCGCGCUUGGGCUGUCGCUGACCCAAAAGGUCGUGCACGCCCAGGCGUUGUCCCCUUGCAUAACAAUCCAUCUCACCCUCUGUGCAUCACCGCGUGGGUUCCCUUCUCGGAGGGGGCUCGCGUUUUCACACACAAACCCCCCUUAUAAAAAGUGUAGAAUGACCUCAUGUAUGCGUUAACCCGCAAUCAAUA